RNAcentral lists this transfer RNA (76 nucleotides) under Pedobacter sp. Its description in RNAcentral is "tRNA-His". It matches the Rfam family "tRNA". From Rfam's summary of the family: Transfer RNA (tRNA) molecules are approximately 80 nucleotides in length. The record is from RNAcentral. Lineage: Bacteria; Pseudomonadati; Bacteroidota; Sphingobacteriia; Sphingobacteriales; Sphingobacteriaceae.
GUGGUUGUAGCUCAGUUGGUUAGAGCGUCGGAUUGUGGUUCCGAAGGUCGCGGGUUCGAGACCCGUCUCCCACCCA